GGCAUAGGAAACCGCCAUGAGAUGAUGGGGGCCAUGAAAAAGAAAUGGAGGGCCACCAUGAGGUGAUGGGGGCCAUGAAAAGCCAUAGGAAGCCACCAUGAGAUGAUGGGAACCAUAAAAAAUCCAUAUGGGGCCACCAUGAGAUGAUUGGGACCACAAAAAAUCCAUGUGGGGCCAUUGUGAGGUGAUAGGGGCCAUGAAAAAGGCAUAGGGGGCCACCAUGAGGUGAUGGGGACCAUGAAAAACCAAAUGGGGCCACCAUGAGAUGAUUGGGACCACCAAAAAUCCAUGUGGGGCCCUUGUGAGGUGAUAGGGGCCAUGAAAAAUCCAUAGGAAGCCACGAUGAGAUGAUGGGAACCAUAAAAAAUCCAUAUGGGGCCACCACACGGUGAUGGGCACCACCAAAAAGCCAUGGAGGCCACCACAACAGGGCCCACAAGACA
This is a long non-coding RNA of Tympanuchus pallidicinctus (lesser prairie-chicken), 443 nucleotides long. RefSeq lists it as uncharacterized. The transcript is spliced from 3 exons. The record is from RefSeq and is a predicted model, not a curated record. NCBI's taxonomy places the organism in Eukaryota, Metazoa, Chordata, Aves, Galliformes, Phasianidae.